AGGAGCCCGAUAGAGAGGCGGCGGCGGAGGAGGGAGCUCGGUGAGUAGCGGUGAGAGGAAAGGGGUUGGGUCAGGCUAGAGAUUUGGAGAAUUUUAUGGAUCCCAACGAUGCUUAUUAGCAUCGUCCUAUUUUUGGCUUCCGACGAUACUUUUAUGUGUCAUAACAUCACAACACUUUGUAAAAAAUAUCGAGAAACCCCAUAUCUCAUUGUCGGUGCUUCUAAGCAUCCUCAUUUUCCAACGUAAUGAAAAAACAUCGAUAAAUUUCGGCACGGUUCGUUAAUUAAUGAUGCUUCUAUCUAGUGUUGGCAAAUUUGCCUCAAAAUUCCCACCUUUUCCUGUAGUGCUGAUUGCUUUUAAAUUUUUAUAUUAUUAUUUGCAUAUUCUCAUGCUGGUAUGUUGAUUAACAAGAAAUUUUUGGCAAAUUUAUAAAUGCUUUUAUCUUAAGAUUUGGACAAGUAGUUAAUGCUUCAUUUGUUCCUAUGGUGCCGGAGUUUGCUUAUUUUGCAAAAUCAAUCAACUUAAGAUUUCCUAGGUCUGCAUUCCAUCUCUCUAAUGUCAUUGAAUUUUGGGAGACUGUAAUUAGGAAUGUUAUUAUUUACCACCAAGAGUAACAUCUUAACUCUUCGAUGAUCAAUUUUCUUCCUUUGACAAAUAUUUUUUGUUUGGUGCUCAGUCUAUGUGUUCUUAUUUUUAGGGCUGAGCAUUUAUUUCUAUCCAAUGUAAUUAGUUCUUCAUUUAAUACUAGCAUUAUAAGGGAAUAUGCAUCUCAUCCCAUCCUAAUGAGAAAUCCUAAGAAAUGUUGAGAAACUAUCAAGUAAACAUAACAUGAUUAUUGGAACCACUUUCUUAUUAUUAAUUAUGCUAUUGUAAAUUAUAUGCAAUACCUCCUUUAGGGUGUGAAAGUGAUGAAACUUUAAUAAAAUAUUAAUUUUUGUUUGUGAAAGGAUGUAGUAAGAAGAAAAGUUGUUAUUAAACUUUUUUGAGCAUCAAGGUCAUAUUUUGGUGUGAUCUGUCAAAGAUUAUUUAUCAAUCUUACUAGAGUUUAGUAUGUUGAAUUUAAUUUAGUCUUUUUAGGCUAUAAGUUGAUGAUGUGUCUAUUUGGUUCUCAAAUGUUUCCUUUGGUGGAGCAGUAUCAUAUCUGAUGAUAUGGUGCUUCAGUAGUUGAGUUGUAUGGGCUUACACAUUAUAUCAAAGAUGGAAAUUUGUCGUACCAUCACAUCCAAAUUCAUACGAGAUCCUAUAGUGGUAUCAAUUUUUAAGGUUAGAUUUGGGAGAAAUCUCUUAGGAUGGAAAGUGAAAACCCAUUGUUGCUCAUUAGAUUUCAACCUCAUGUAAGUGUGAGAUCGUAAUAUGAGAAUGUAAAUGUGCAAUCUUCGGAAGUUAGAUUGUUGUAAUUUUUUGAGAAUUCUCAUUUUUUUGGGUUCUUUAUUAAUUAGAGGAAUGAUGAGUUAGAACGUACGAUAUCCAGUGUCUAUAGAAACAUUUAGGUGAAACAUUACUUGCAUUUAGACUUUGAUUAGUAACUUGACUAAAUCAUUCAUCGUAUGUUGUUAAAAAAACAUGUGCUUGCACGCUAAGGAGUGGAGAUGUGGAGGACAUGGUGGAUAAAAUCAAUAUCAUUACGAUUUAGUUCGUACGCUGCUUGAUUCUCCAAUCAAGUAUUAGAGUUAUUUUUUUUGAUUUUGUUUCUUUAUUAGCUUUGAACCAAAGAUCUUGACAACUUAAUCAUAGCUUCAUUAAUUAAGUCAUGGUGAAAGCUUGACCUUAGCAAAUCAGAAUAUGGAAGCUUUGCAUUGAUGGGGCUUAAUUAAUAUCUUUUAGACAAUAAAACUAAGAUUUGGAAAGCAAAGGAUGAUGAAAUGUUAGUUUUGAAUCUGACAGAUGGUGUGCUGCUAAUUUUUAUUCCGAUGAUCAAUAUAUGUAGAUGUUGAUGAUAGAGUACUGUAAUGUAUAUAUAUUUCUAUAGACUAAUCAUCAUGAAUUGAGGGUAAAUAGGUGGAACUGGAAAUAUAUAUUGUUUUUAAUGAGAGCUAGGUCAAAUUUUCUUGAAGUUCAUGGAAUGAUGAUUUUUUGUGAUGGGCAUGUUAGGGAAAGGGGAUAUUAGGUGGGCAUUGCCAAUAUCAUUUCCAGCUCAUUUUGGAUCAUUAGUUAUAGCUAUUAUUAUGCUUAUAUAUCAAAUCAAGGUCAAUUUCAAGCCAGCGUGGAAAGUUGAUAGUUGAUAAAUUUUCGACCAAGCUCUAUUGGGGAGCAUCUGAUCGAAAGUUUGAUUUAACUUGAUUUUUUUAGGUUUAUUAUAUAUUUGUUAGAGUGAAGAUUGUAUGAUAUUUUGGUCAUGGUGGAUACUAGGAUGGAUUGUGGACUCAGAAGGAAGGGUGAGGUAGGGUUUCAUAUUAGAGUCAGCAAAAUAAGCCCGAUCCAUGGCCCGAUGCAUGCAGCUCAAUUUCCGACAGUAACUGUUAUAUUUUGAUCGAAGAUAGUGUUUCUAGUCAUAGACAACCAGCCAAAAAAGCAGGUGCAUGACACUGUUGGAUUGAGGAGCAAAAGAUAGAAUACAUUAUUUUUAUCACAUGAAAUUUUUCAGGGAUAUAUGGUAGCCCACUUUUACACUUUUAUUUAUAUUGGUUGAGGUCCUACUGGUAAGUGAAAUGUUUGCCGACCACGAACAAUCAUUGGAACAGCAAUGCACACACGCAUGACUGCCGUAUUUGUACAUCAUCUCUCAUAUGUUCAUAUAACAACGUAGGAGCAGCAUGCUUGCAAUAUGACAUUAGUAAUUUAAAGAGUCAUCAAUAUUGAAUAUUUCAUAUUAAAAAGUGUGGCAAAAUGUCAGAACAUGAAUGAUUAUAUGGACAUGGCUGCCAUUUGUUUCAGUAAUAUUACUCAACAUCCAGUUGAUGUGUUUUUGUUUUCCCCUUACAAUGUCAAACUUAUCCUUUUCUAAAGUAAGGUGCAUGGGACUGCAGAGAUUUAUUUCCUGAAACAGUGGAUGCAAGUCUUCCUUGUCCCCGAAAGUGCAAAUAAUAAUCCCAAUAAAAGGCAGUAAGCAGAGAUAUAUGAAAACUAGGAACCCGCCCCUAAAUCAAAAUAGACAAAUAAAGACUCCCAAUUACAAAUAAUAAUCCCAAUAAAAAGUACAAAUAAUAAAACUUAAUUAAAGACACUAGGUUGGAGGAUAAUUAGCACUUUUUGUUAACACUUGGAGUCAACCAUGUUCUCUAAAGCAUAAAGGAUCGUCUCAUAGGCCGCUCUCUAUUAUACUGCUAUUGAUUGGAUUAUGUUUUUUUUUAAGGCAAAUCAAAUAGUGCUAAUCCAGACACCUUUUUGUUGAGGUUAUCAAUGUUGAGGUUCUCAUGGUAACUGAAAACAACCUUAACUGUGCAAUUAUAUAUGUAAAAGACAAGUAGUGCAAACGAAUCGAGUGCCAACAUUUUGUUGAGAGCAAGCCAUUUUGAAAGGAAUUCCAAGAAAACUGAGAGCAAAUUAAAGAGAAUGCACCAACUGUUUAGUCCAGAUACGGUGCAGAUACCAUUUUCAAGGUUCGUACAGAUUCCAUCCUAGAAAUUUUCUCUAGUAACUAGUAUCUUUCUCUGGUGAACAGCAGGCAGUGCUUGUAGUUUAAUAGACCAAUUGAAACCUUAUCUUAAAUUAGCAAUUAAUGUUGAUGAGUAUCUCCCCAAUAUCUCCACUCUUCACAAGUUAUCUCCACAUUUAUUUUGCAAAAUAGUUAGUUUUUCCUCCAUUUUUAUUACUCCGAAACCCCUUCGAGCCUUCCUGUCCAAGUCAUGGAUUUUUAAACUUAAUGGAACCAGCUCCAGGUACUGGUGAAAUUGGUCAUGACUGCUGCGAUGGAUAAAUUACAGAAAACUGGGUUCUCAGGAUUUGUCUGCCACUGAAUGAAAGGUAAGUAUAUAUCCUUCCAUCUACUAGUCUAGUACCAAUCUUUUGGAUUCUCUACUUGCUUUAGAGUGAGAAUUUUUUCUUUGAGCUACUCAGGGAUGAGUUUCACCUUUGCACGCUAACAGAAAUUUGCAUGAUAAAUGACUGCAAACUCUGAGAAGUGUAUGGUUCAGGUAAGUUUCAAGAAUUUACUGAGGAAAUUAUGAUGAAGAGGUAGCUCAACCAGUUAAACCAUCACAGUCCUUUUCUGCUCCUAGAGAUACCAUUAAGAAGCACUUUCUAAUAAUCCACCCCUCCCAUGUUCUCGUAGACAUCCAGAAGUGAAGGCCUGAUUAUCACUCUCUUUCAAUAGGAUACUACAGGGUGGUUCGAUAUUUCUUGCUCCUUUAACUUCUAAAUUAAAUUUCACAAGAGCCCCCUUGAAUGAAUUCAAAAAAUAUUUUCACGAACUGUUCCUGAUCUGAAAGUUGCUGCUGUUGUCAGAAUUUUUCAGCCUAAUUGAUCGAUCAGUCUACUCUCCCAAUUUUUUAGCAGCCCUCUAGUUCGAAAGAAGUGCAGAUAGGCAUUCUUACCCUUCUGGUGCACAAGCAAUAAGGCCAGGGACUCUCUUGGAUGCUGACUGUAAGUACCGUCUCUUCCUUGAAUGGUUUUAGAUUUUCCCUUUGUUCAUAGCGAUGGUCAGACCUGAUAGGCAGCAUCAUGCUCAUACAUUUUUUCUAGACGCGCUAAUUCUCUUCAGAGUUUAAUUUAGUCAUCCAUUUUUAGUUCUUCUUGCUGUCAUUAGCAGUCUCAAGGAUGUGGAUAGUGUUAGUAUCCCGUCCUAGACAUACAAACCUAUGCAGUAUCCUCACUUCUAAAGGUAGGAGUCCUACUUCCAAACUCGUACCUUAAAACCCCGGUCCUAUAUAAGAGAAGGGCCAUUUGGCUCUUUUAAAUUUCAAGUCCAGUAUAUGGUUCUGAUUCUUGGAUACACAUCCAAGAUAUUCAUCAAUGUAGCCUUUGUAAAAAGAGGUUCCAAGUUGCUUAGUAUUCUAAACCAACCUAGUAAAAUAUACACCUUCAUAUUUGGAAGGAAAGCUCUUCUGAAAAGAAAGAGGCAAGAUGCUGUUAUGUCUCUUCUUUUGGGGUUUGUUAACUUAUCCAGCUGACUGUAAAGAAAGACAGCUUGGCACCCUUCCAGUUUAGUCGGGACAGGGUAUAAAAAGAUGCCUUCUGUGAUGGCUCCUUCAGUGACAUAAUGUUUUGGUGUUGUUCUUGUAACUUCUCGAGCAUAAUGCGAACAUCCUACCAACUUGGUGGUGGCGAACUUCUUUGUGAUGACUUCAGCAAGCAUGAACGACGCAAAAAAAAAAAAAAAAAAAUCAUUGUUUUUCUUUUCACCUUUUAGAAGAUGACACGGCAAUAUUCAUCUGGAAAUUUUCUUUUGCAAAUGUCCCCUGUAAAAUGAAACAUCAUUUGAUCACAAUGAGCUGAACUUGGCAUUACAAUUUUCAUUUAUCUUUGAAUGAUGCGAUUGCUACACUGGAUUUUAUACAGAAUUAUGCAUUACUGGGUCUACCAACAAGGAUAUAUGGGCAUGCGUACUUGAUAAAGUUUCUCAGCAAAUCUGGUUGGAACUAAAGACAGGAUUGAAGAUGCCACCAGGAUGCUGGUAGGAAACCCCAAUACAAUCGAUGUACUUGUGGUGGCUGUAAAAAUAGAAUCUGUUGUCAGUCCCAUUCAGCAGUUACCUACUGUAGCUGCUUUAAAAGAGCUUUAAUACCUUCAUUCAAGUAGAUAUUAUUAGUUCUUUUUCACCAGAGAGUGGGAAGCACCAGAGGUAAUUCAUGCUGCUCGGCCGUUGUGUUUGCUGUACCCACUCUGUCUCCUCAUAUUUUUUAUAGGUAUGACACUUAAUGCAUGACGAAUCAUAUGCGAUGAAAAGAUUUUUGUCAGCACCAAAACCAGCUUGGGAAGCAGGAGAUCGUACCAUCUUGAGUUGUGGCCACUUGCUAUUGGACACCUCCGAGAGCUCGCCAAGGCAAUGCAGGUUGGUGGGUACACUUUCAGCUGGGAGUGCGAAGCCCAAGCCAAUGUUGGAAGAUGCUCCCUCCAGUGGUAAAGAGACGAGCCGACUCUUGUAGCUGAUCUCCGCCACCGUGGACUUCAGGAAAACAGAGGGCCUUUGUGGGGAUUGAUGAGACUUGCUUGUCGGGAUCUUUUCUUUCUUUUUUUCUUCUUCUUUUGUUUGAGGUUUUCUAUUUUAUAAUUUUACUUUAAUCCGUGUGGCAAGUUAGGUUUAUUUUCUUUUCUUAAAAAAAAAUCUCUCCCUGAGUACAACUUCAAUUUUUUUAUUUUCCAAAUUCUUUUU
Non-coding RNA from Phoenix dactylifera (date palm), 6250 nucleotides. The record is from RefSeq and is a predicted model, not a curated record. Lineage: Eukaryota; Viridiplantae; Streptophyta; Magnoliopsida; Arecales; Arecaceae.